GAUGAACGCUGGCGGCGUGCCUAAUACAUGCAAGUCGAGCGAACGGACGAGAAUCUUGCUUCUCUGAUGUUAGCGGCGGACGGGUGAGUAACACGUGGAUAACCUACCUAUCAGACUGGGAUAACUUCGGGAAACCGGAGCUAAUACCGGAUAAUAUUUUGAACCGCAUGGUUCAAAAGUGAAAGACGGUCUUGCUGUCACUUAUAGAUGGUUCCGCGCUGCAUUAGCUAGUUGGUAAGGUAACGGCUUACCAAGGCAACGAUGCAUAGCCGACCUGAGAGGGUGAUCGGCCACACUGGAACUGAGACACGGUCCAGACUCCUACGGGAGGCAGCAGUAGGGAAUCUUCCGCAAUGGGCGAAAGCCUGACGGAGCAACGCCGCGUGAGUGAUGAAGGUCUUCGGAUCGUAAAACUCUGUUAUUAGGGAAGAACAUAUGUGUAAGUAACUGUGCACAUCUUGACGGUACCUAAUCAGAAAGCCACGGCUAACUACGUG
RNAcentral lists this ribosomal RNA (497 nucleotides) under uncultured bacterium. Its description in RNAcentral is "partial 16S ribosomal RNA". It matches the Rfam family "Bacterial small subunit ribosomal RNA", at positions 28 to 507 of the family's 1533-position model. The record is from RNAcentral.